GUUGGGCGCAGUGGCACGUGCCUGUAGUCCCAGCUACUCGAGAGGCUGAGGUUGGAGGAUCGCUUGAGCCCAGGAGUUCUGGGCUGUAGUGUGCUAUGCCAAUUGGGUGUCCACACUAAGUUCAGCAUCAAUGUGGUGACCUCCAGGGAGUGGGGGACCACCAGGUUGCCUAAGGACGGGUGAACCAGCCCAGGUUGGAAUCGGAGCAGGUCAAAACUCCCGUGCUGAUCAGUAGUGGGAUUGCGCCUGUGAAUAGCCACUGCACUCCAGCCUGGGCAACAUAGCGAGACCCCAUCUCU
Molecule: signal recognition particle RNA, 299 nt
Filed under: Aotus nancymaae (Ma's night monkey)
Lineage: Eukaryota; Metazoa; Chordata; Mammalia; Primates; Aotidae
Description: Metazoan signal recognition particle RNA (ENSANAG00000008037.1)
Rfam family: Metazoan signal recognition particle RNA
About the family: The signal recognition particle (SRP) is a universally conserved ribonucleoprotein. It is involved in the co-translational targeting of proteins to membranes.
Source: RNAcentral